UACGUAGGGUGCAAGCGUUAAUCGGAAUUACUGGGCGUAAAGCGUGCGCAGGCGGUUUGUUAAGACAGAUGUGAAAUCCCCGGGCUUAACCUUGGAACUGCAUUUGUGACUGCAUAGCUAGAGUACGGUAGAGGGGGAUGGAAUUCGCGUGUAGCAGUGAAAUGCGUAGAUAUGCGGAGGAACACCGAUGGCGAAGGCAAUCCCCUGGACCUGUACUGACGCUCAUGCACCGAAAGCGUGGGGAGCAAACAGG
This 253-nucleotide ribosomal RNA is filed under the name uncultured bacterium. RNAcentral's name for it is "partial 16S ribosomal RNA". It matches the Rfam family "Bacterial small subunit ribosomal RNA", at positions 524 to 776 of the family's 1533-position model. The record is from RNAcentral.